Molecule: non-coding RNA, 45 nt
Filed under: Echinostoma caproni
Lineage: Eukaryota; Metazoa; Platyhelminthes; Trematoda; Plagiorchiida; Echinostomatidae
Source: RNAcentral
GCACUGCUGAUUAGUCCCGAACAGGACGAAACAGUUGUCCAGUGC